AGUGAACGCUGGCGGUAGGCCUAACACAUGCAAGUCGAACGGCAGCACAGUAAGAGCUUGCUCUUACGGGUGGCGAGUGGAGGACGGGUGAGGAAUACAUCGGAAUCUAAUUUUUCGUGGGGGAUAACGUAGGGAAACUUACGCUAAUACCGCAUAAGACCUACGGGUGAAAGCAGGGGAUCUUCGGACCUUGCGCGAUUGAAUGAGCCGAUGUCGGAUUAGCUAGUUGGCGGGGUAAAGGCCCACCAAGGCGACGAUCCAUAUCUGGGCUGAGAGGAUGAUCAGCCACACUGAAAAUGAAACACGGUCCAAACUCCGACGGACGCGACCGUGAUGCAAUAUUAAACAAUGUGCGCAAGCGUGAUCCAGCCAUACCGCGUGGGUGAAGAAGUCCUUCGGGUUGUAAAGCCAUUUUGUGGGGAAAGAACAGCCACAGGUUAAUACCCCUCUAUUAUAACGGUACCCAAAGAAUAAGCACCGGCUAACUUCGU
Molecule: ribosomal RNA, 491 nt
Filed under: uncultured bacterium
Lineage: Bacteria
Description: partial 16S ribosomal RNA
Rfam family: Bacterial small subunit ribosomal RNA
Source: RNAcentral